This is a long non-coding RNA of Acinonyx jubatus (cheetah), 5247 nucleotides long. RefSeq lists it as uncharacterized. The record is from RefSeq and is a predicted model, not a curated record. The transcript has 8 exons. NCBI's taxonomy places the organism in Eukaryota, Metazoa, Chordata, Mammalia, Carnivora, Felidae.
CCUUCUCCUGAAUUCACUGAAACUUUACUCACAGAAUUGUUUUUCCAGACUGAAAGGCUUCAAACCUGCAUCUCAUUUUUCUGCCUCUCCAAAAGCUCUCCUCUUAUGGUUCUGAGCUGUGAUCUUUCCUUCUCUAAGAAGUCUGCCCUUGCUACUCCAAACUCCCCUCACAUGUGACAUAAAAGGACUGCCUUGGUCAGAGCAGGAAGAGAAUAUGCAAUUGCUUGUCACAGAGCAUUCAUGCCCCACAUGAGUAACUGAGACCCUGAGAUGCAUGACUUCCAGGUGGGAAGAAUGAGAAGGCUGGCAGGAGUUGGUCCAGGGUACUUAUAAAGGAUAUAGGGGGUCAAAAGUGGCCUGUGGAAGUUACUACUUUUCCAGUAAGUGUUGAAGGUAUCAAAAGUUCAGAGGAGGAAGAGAAAGGGCAACUUAUAUUUUUAAAUCCCGUAACAGAUUACAAGGUGCAUACGUUAAUCCCCAAACCCACCGAAUCACAACAGAUCCUAUACUCUCCAUUUUGCAGUGCAACAUUUUUAAGUUAAGACACAGAUUCCGGGUUUAAAAUCUGGCUGCGUCUUACUAGCUGUGUGAUCCUGGGCAACUUCACCUUCCAAAGGCUCCGUUUCCUCGUUGGUGUGGUGGGCGUGCUGUGAGGGUUGCUGGGGGGCACACAGUGCCUGGCAAGUGGCUUACACGCUGAGUAUUAGCCACUACUAUUUAGUGCAGGUGAGAGAGCCCAGUGCCUAUUCACACAGCUGGUGGGGCGUGGAUGUGGGACUCAGGGCUAGAUGUGGUCACUGGCUGUUUAGGACAGGCUUAAUUGCUACAAAGUUCUUGGCCUCCUUUUUUCAGAGGGAGAAAGGGACUUGGGGCGGGGGUACGUAUGGAGCCCACAGCUGGCAAGGGCCCCGUCGGGCGCCCGGCACUUACGAGGUGCGGAUGCUCCUGAGGCGGCCCUUGUGGAACGUGAUGGUGGCAUUGCGGCAGCAGCGGCUCUCGUAGUAGUAGCACUGGAGGUUGCUGCUGGUCGUGCAGCAGCACUUGCAGUUGGGGUCAUUGGCCCAGGAGCAGCAGCACCAGUGGCAGUUGGGGUUCUCAGAGCAGGUGCAGUGGCAGCACUGGCAAUUGCGCUCAUCUUUGUAAGGGCAGGGGAAGCAGGUGCAGUUCCGCUCUGAGGUGAAGAGGAACUUGCAGCACAGACAGGAGCAUAGCUGAGGACAACAUCUCUGCCAUGUACAACAUGGAGAGCAAACACACAUGGCAGUCUCCAUGGCGCCUACAUGAUGGCUACCGGCUGCCCAGAGCUCUUGACGCCUUCUCUACCAGAAUCCUGUGGGCUCCCAGGCAGGAGUCCCUCCUCCCUCUGAUGAAGUCCUCGGCUUGGAGGUUGCAAGAGGUUGGCUGUUGUGAGACCUUUACAGGCGGCGUCCCUACUAGGAAGCUCCUGGGUUGGCAUUUACCUGUAUCAGCCUGAGGCCAUUUGCUUAUGUCACAAUCCCUGUCUCCCCACCAUGUCUCACCAUGCUGAGUGGGUGAGAUGUUGGGGCUAGUGGCAGGGGCCGCUGAAGGACACUCCAUGCUUCCACAGGAUCAGGUCCAGAGUAGGGUUGAUGCAAACAGCAUCCUGGAGCUUCAUGGUGUUUGGCUGAGGCUCAAGCUGUUUUCCUCCCCGUGAUCUCCCUUUUAUCAAGCGGCUGGAACUCUACAUGAUCAUCUUUAACUUUGCUUUUAGCAUAUGCUCAGUAUUUCUAGAAAUGGCCUUAUAUUUUAGGGGAGAAUUUCGCUUUCCUUUACUUUAUGCAGCUUGCAAAGAUUAAAAGAGAAAGGUUUCAUGAUCAUACUACCCUAUGGUAUAAACACUGUCUCAGUAUUUUUCCAAAAGGGAGCAGAAGUGAGAGCUGAAUUUGGCUGUAGGAGUUUAUUGUGUAAUUUAUUAUCUCUCCCUGUGAUUAUCACCUUUAUAUUAGGAAAGAACAUUCACUGAGUGCUAACUGUGCCAGCCACACAUUGAUUUCAAGUUCCUACAAAUGGAAAUUCUGGAUCAUAGGGCACAGAGGUUUGAGUUUUACUCCUGGAUUUAUACCACUGAAAAGUCCCAGAAACCAUGACUUAACCAGUAGUAAUGAGCCCUCCGUCUCCUGGACUGUGGUCCUGAAUAUUACUGAAAAGAAGCCAGGCUCUUUGAAGAAAUGGAUGAUACCAGAUGUGGGGCAGGAAAUGUACAAGAAAAGAUGAAUCUAGGCAAUAUUAUCGGUGACUGCUAAUAGCACAAGAGGGACAGCCAGACAUUGUGUGCUCCGGAUGGAAGUAUACAGCACCACCGAUGAAGUGUUCUUGCAAAGAGUUCCAGCCUGAAUCUGAUCAAGCUUCUAGAUCUAAAUACCAGUUGUUGGGGACAAGAUGAUAUUGGGGGACGUGUGAAGUGCUUUGAAGGCUGCCAACAAAAUGCCAAGUCAGCCCAUUGACAGAAAAAGGAAGAGAAACCUUUGGAAAAUACAUUAUUGUUUCGCAUUAGCUUACUUUCCGUCUGAAUCUGAGCACCUGACCUGAGGAAGGAGCGUGAACAUAGAAUGGCGAAUUUGUUCUAGGACAGUGAGUGAUCUGAGAGUGUUGGGAAGAGGGAGCUAUGCUGCGUAGACCAGAAGGCAGGGCAAUGGAGGAAUGGAUACAAUAGAUGCAGAAAAAAACAUUUGAGAAAAUACAACAACAUGUGAUGAAAACUCUCAGGAAACCAGGGAUAAAUGGAAUUUCCUCAACCUGACAGAGCAUUUAUGAAAGACCUGCAGUUAACAUCAUAUUUACUGGUGAAAGAUUGAAUAAUUUCCCUCUAGGUUGGGAAAUAAGGGAAAGCAUGACCACUUUCACCACAUCUAUUUGACAUUGUACAGAAGUCAUAGCCAGUGCAAUAAGACAGGAAAAAGAAGUAAGAGAUAACAUAUAUUGGGAAAGAAAUAAACUGUAUUCCCAGAUGACAUAAUUGUCUCCAUAGAAAAUCUUAAUAAAUCUAUUAAAAAGCUAUUAGAACAAUUAAGUAAUUUUAUAGGCUUAUAGGACAUAGGGUCAAAAUGUACAAAAUGUACAAAAAUAAAUUGUAUUUCCCUAUAUUAGCAACAAAAGUAUCAGACUUGAAAUUAAUAAUGCCUUUUAAAAUAACAUCAAAAAUAUAAAAUCAUUUAGAGAAAAUAUAAAAUAUUUAUGGAAAACAUUUACACACAAAAUCUGUACAUAUUGAAUAUAUUUUUAGUGUACUGAAAAAUAUUUGCUGAGAAAAAUUUUUAAAGACUUAAGAGACUUCCAGUUUAUGGUUCUGUAGUAAAGAUAUUGGAAGUCUCCACUCUGUCCUAACAACAGGUAAAAAGCUAAAUGAGCAAAAAAUCAACAACUCUUCUUAGAUCCAUAGGAGAGGGGAGGACACAGGACACAGGGCCAGUUACUAUACCCAAGACUUGUGAGGCAGACAUGCAAAUGCAGGGAGUCAUGACUAGAAGCCAGCACAGGAACCAGUGCCGGGGUAGGAAACCCUGAACUAUAAUUGACAAACUGCUGGAGAUCAGUGUGGACAAGUAUGAGAGUUAAAAACUCCAGGAGGACCCCAGUCAUAGGGGAGGAUCUCAUAAUUCUAUGAGAUUUAUCUCUAGGAGUUAGACUACUUUCCCACAGUAAAUAUCCAGGAAAAGCCCCCUUGUGAUUCUGGCAGGCAGAAGGGAAAAGGAAUCAUUUUGAAAUAUGCCUGGGUACUCUGUUCUUAACAAGGUCUGCACUCAGGGGAAACUAGUUAACCAGAGCUUAACUUGCUGGGGUAUUUUGCAGACUGACUGGGGGAAAGGGAGAGCACGAGUUCUAACUGGCUGUAGCAGUCUUGUCCCACCUCAGGUGGGGAAGAAAAAACCAAGAAACGCAUGUGAAGUUCAAAGUCAAGAGGCCCAGGCUCACUAAAAGAUUAAGACCUAAUCACAGGACUGUAGAAAGCUUUUGCUCCCAUCACACCUCAUGACCACAUUACUAAAGGCCUAUUUACAGCAGUUCCUUCUACCCAGUACAUCAUAUCCAGCUAUCAAGAAAAAAAUCACAAGGCAUACCAAGAGGCAAAAAACACACUUUGAGAGACAGAGCAAGCAUCAGAACCAGACAUGUCAGGGAUGUUGGAAUUAUCACACCAAGGAUUUAAAAUGAUUAUAAUAUUUUAUUUUAUUUUAUUUUAUUUUAUUUUAUUUUAUUUUAUUUUAUUUUUUUAUGUUAUGUUAUGUUAUGUUAUGUUAUGUUAUGUUAAGGGAAGCUAAUGGAUAAAAUAGACUUUAUGCAAGAACAGAUGGUAUAUGUAAGCAGAGACAUCGAAGUCAUAAGAAAGAACCAAAAAGAAAUGCUAGCGAUGAAGAACACUGUAAGAGAAAUUUAGAUUGCUUUGAUGGGCUUAUUAGUAGAUUGGAUACAGCUGAGGAAAGAAUCUGUAGCUAGAGGCAAUUUCAGUGGAGUCCUUCAAGACUGAAAAGCAAAGAGAACAAAGACUGGAAAAAACGGAACAGGAUAUCCAAGGACUAUAGGACAACUACAAAAGGUAUAAAAUACAAAUAAUGGUAGUACCAGGAGGGAAGGGAGAUUGAAAGGAACAGAAAAAAUAUUUUAAGCAAUAGUGACAGAAAAUUUCCCAAAUUAAUGUCAGGCAUCAAACCACAGAUCCAGAAAGCUUAGAAAACACCAAGCAGGAUAAAUGCCAAAAAGCUACACAUAGGCAUAUUAUUUUCAAACUACAGAAAAUCAAAGAUAAUGAAAAAUUCUGAAAGAAGCCAGAGGGGGAAGAAAUCUUAUCUAUAAAAGAACAAGAUUACAUCUGAUGUCUCAGAAACCAUGAGAGCAAGGAGAGUGUAGUGAAAUAUUUAAAAUCUUGAGGAAAAAAAUUGACCUAGAAUUCUGUACCCUGUGAAAUUAUCCUUCAAAAGUGAAGGAGAAAUUAAGACUUUCUCAGACAAACAGAAAUUGAGAGAAUGUGUUUCCAGUAUACCUUGCAAGAAAUGUUAAAAGAAGUUUUUUAGAGAGAGGAAAAAUAGUACAAAGAUCAGUAACUUGGAUCUAAACAAGAAUACUGAGGAAGGAAAAUAUUGAAGAAGGAAUACAUGAAGGUAAAAUAAAGACUUAUUUUUCUUAUUUUUAAUUGAUCUAAUAGGUAACAGUUCAUUUAAAAUGACUUGUGUCAUAGGGGCGCCUGGGUGGCUUAGCUGGUGAAGCAUCUGACUUCAGCUCAGAUCAUGA